Molecule: long non-coding RNA, 8976 nt
Organism: Ceratitis capitata (Mediterranean fruit fly)
Lineage: Eukaryota; Metazoa; Arthropoda; Insecta; Diptera; Tephritidae
Exons: 3
Source: RefSeq, a predicted model, not a curated record
UAUAUGUAUGUGUUUAUUCACGACACCUAUAAAUUUUGAUCUAACUUUUUUGGUAGGCUUUUGUACUCUAACUUUUAAAAAAUUAAAAUUAUUUUUCCUAUUUCUCUGUUUUCUAUUCCACUGGUUGGUUCACUUUUAGCGACGACGGUCCAAGUUAACUUUCAAAAAAAAUUAGAGUAGUUAUGGAGUGUCAGCUGUCUUGCGGUCCCUAAGUUUUAAAGGUUGUUGCACAAUAUUCAGUAUUUUAAUAAAAAUCUUUAAAAAUUAUGUUGAAAUUUCGAAUAUAAUCAUCGAAUUAAAGCACCGUAUUUAAUAUGUAUACAUUCAAUUAAAGGACAGCAUUAGCGGAAGUAAAAUCACGCGUGCAAGGGCUGCUGAUUUCAGAUCAAGUAAAUGAUCGGUCAGCUAACAAAUUUGACCUAAAGGAAAACAAGUAUUGGCGCAUGACCGGACAUGCGGAAUCAUUGAGAACAGACGGGAGAACUCCCCACACGCAUUUACAUAGAAGUUUAAGGCGGUUGGAAUGAGCGCUUAAGCAUAACAAACUUUCAGGGCACUAACCUUUGGACGUAUAAUUGGAGCAAAUUUGUCAGUUUGAAGGUCACUAACUGGAUUUCAGAAAGCAUUUAAGUGCAUGUAGCGAAGCCUUUACGCAUGAAUGACUCUACGCUAGAUAUGAUUUGAAUUUAAGCUAAUCUAAAAAAUAUAAAAGAAAUAAUGGAUGGCCCAAAAUUAGAAUUGAGAUGGAAGUGUAAGCUUAACCUAAGGUAGGUAAAGUACAACUCUUUUACCAUAUUUUACCGACAGAUUAAUAGCGUCAGUUGGGAGAAAAUAAAACAAUUAUUACUGAAAGACUGUUAUCAGAGCGCACUUACGUUGAUCACCAGGCCCAAAAUUCAGAAUACUCAAUAAAAUUCAAUGUAUAUAUCUCGCACCAUAAUGAAAUAAAACCUUAAUAUGGGCGACGAAGAACUAUAUUCAACUGCUGAAAUCAGUGCGUUCAAAGGCUGCAAUCGUUUAAAGCUGCCGGUUCCGAUAAGAGCCUUACCAUCCUGUUGGCACAAAUACUUUCUUUCGUGUGAAUUGUUGCAUUAUUUUUGCGAACACACCGCGGUGAUAAGAGGUCUAGGCAAAUUUUAUACCGGAACCUGAUAGUAAAGACCGUUGCUUACUGACAUCCUAUACACUCAUUACAUUAAUAUUCUUUCCGUUGAAAAAGAUGGAAAGAAUCUGUGACGAUUAGAUCUAGCCACAAAUUCUUUGAGUGGCACUGCUGUAAAAAGAAUCCACACAAGCACGCAAAUGUUUAUGCACGAUUUAUGUUUCUUUCCAAAUCAUAAACCUUUUAGUCGAUAUGCGGAGUGCAACUUUUAUGCCGCACGCUCUUGUGGGCAACUACAAUAAAACUGAUAUGACUUAAGUCAAAGUAUAUACAUAAAUUAAGGUUUUAUUAACAUUCCAUUCCCGUUUUUCCUGUUUUAGGAAAGAAUGACAUGUUGCAGUCAAACAUGAGUUUCACCGUUUAACAUUGCUGGAGGUUUGGACCCACAAUAGACGCGAUGAUUCUGCCGUAACGAAUUGGGUUGUGGAAACAAUGAAUAUAAAUGAGGUCAUCAACUCACAAUUUUUGCAAACUGAUGGAAAAGGAGUUCGGAGUUUUAUAACCAAGAUCCAGAAAUAUUUGCUUAAUGCAACCGUAUGAUGUCAAGAUUUAAAGUUAAUCACUUAAGAUGUGUUUCGGAGGCGAUUAUUAUAACCUUAUGAAGAUAAAGAGCUUACUGAUCCAUCUACGUCUAAAUUACGUUGAGCAAAAUUAAAUCAUUCACUUGCUGGAAUGCGCUUAAAGUAUAAAUUAGCAAGUAAUUUUGCAUCAAACAUAGACUUUUCAACGCAGCAUUUUCUAUAUGCUACUUCUGUUUCUGUGAAGAAUGCGAAAGAUGAUUUGGUUAUUGCGUUGAAAGUCGUCAGGGAUGAACAAACUGGGAUAUAAAAUCUGAGAUGAUUAUCCCCUUUACUCCUGGAGACGCAUUGGCAUAUUUGUUGGAAAAUGGGCUUACCAUAUUCAGCACUUCAAGUCGCCAAAACUCUUUGCUGCCCAAUUCAAACAGAAAUUUCGGAAUAUUUUUCGCAGGUUCCAAUGCAAAACCUUUUACGCCAUAAAGCCGAAACAAAAAUGAUGUUCACGUUGCAUGUUGGAAGUAAGCCACGGUUUCGUUAGAUCUAAUGGUCAAAGCUUAUAUAAGCAGACGUUUCAAUCAGAAGAACGUGUUUUCCUGGAUUUAUCCUUUUUCCGCACCAUGAUCACUUUGAACUUAAUAGAUGCAAAUCAUCCAGUUAUUUAGCAUAACAAUGCUCCACAAUUUGUGAGGUUCUGCAGGCCACUUAAAAUUGAGUAUGCAAACGAAAGCCGUCAGAAAAUAAUAAGAAAGAAAUAAAUAUUAGUUAGAUUUCAUAUAUACAAAAUGGGGCAAAACAAUUGUUAUUGCCUAUAAACCACAGAACACUUAUUGAUCUAAAAGUACUUAACGUUUUACGCGCACAUACGGGCACUGUAUGUCCAAUAUUUUGGAUGAAACCAAAAAAUCUCCCCGAAACCACUGAUUUUGACUCCGAAUGUUUUAAGCCAACACCUGUGACUAAAAAAUAGUGUCAGUUCAUUCUCAUAUUCUUUAGUAUUGAAGUUCUAAAGUAGCAUAUUACCCAGGUUAAUACAAACAAACUGAUUACUCGGAAAUAAAAAUUAGGGUUGGAUGUAAGCAUUCCCAAACAAAGAGCAUUCGCUAAUUAACAGUUAUUUUAAACAAUUACUAGAUUUGAUCAAAAUAUUUUAUACAAUUUGUAUUAAUUUUUUUUCACUAUUUCAUGUGUGCAUUCUAUUGAUGUUGAUAAAUUCAAUGCAUUUUGUAAGGAAAUAUUUUUAUUAUAUGUUAAUACUUAUCCCUGGUAUAUAGGUCACCGACGGUACGUAAAAUAUUAGAACAUAACUGGUAAAUAAUAAACUCGUCUUUGGUUCCGGUUGAAUGUUUGGAGAAAAUGAUUCAGAACUAUGGAAUAAGUACUAUAAAAACGAUAGGAGAUCACAUGCCCAGAAAAAUUGCCGCUUAAACAAUAUGGCCUAUUUUUUCAUAGUACUUUGGAUUCUUCUGAUUCAUUAAUAUCAAGUAUUUGUUUCAGUGAAAGGUAAACAAAAUUAAAGAAAAACUCAUGCCGGCAGAUGUAAUAAAUCUUUUAAAAUGCCCACCUCUACUAAACUAUAAAACAUCAUAUCAUUGUUCGGAGUUCAAUGAUAUAGAGGUUUGUUCAAAGACCGACAAAUGGCUGCCGGAGAGCUUCAAACUUUCAGCAGACAAUAAAUACGCAAAUAAACGUAUCCUAGUGUACAAAUAAGUUAAGAUGCUGCUCACCAAGCAGCCAAGCCGACUUUGCCAGCGCGACUAACACGUAGAAGCUCCAAUCUCAGCGAGCAAAUGAGUCAACAAGGACAUAUACAAUUAUUACAUACGAGACAUGAUGGCAGAUCUCUCCUUCUAACUGCCAUGGUCGCAGUUGAAUACCAAGGAGAAUUGUUCCAACUCAGAGCAUUAAUUGACCAAGGCUCACAAAUGAUUUUCAUUUACCCUAAAGUUCUGAAAAGGUUGAGACUUACAUUCGAGUUUCUUAAGUUCAAAAUUUCCGGAAAGAGUGAACACAUCGUCCAAAACUCAUUUCUUGACUCUGGUAUCAUCCAAAACAAGCAACUGAUCAAUGCAACUAUUUUCAAGGACCCAAUGCCAAUGAGCUGGUAUAUCAAACGGACAUGGUAAUAGGCAGUGAAAUGCUUCCACAAAUUCUCGUGGAAGGUGUACACAAAAUUUACAACACAGCUCUAUCACAAAAUUCAAUAUUCUGUUGGAUCCUUAACGAGCCAGUAACCGAAAAAGUAGUGUCCUUCUCAACAUAUUUAGAAGAAGUUUCAAAUGAGAUAAGUGGUCAGUUAAGGCAAUUUCGGGAAGAGGAAGAUGUUCCUCCGAUUCCACAAUUUUUUUUUUUGAGGAUCAAGCUUGCGAAAGCAUAUACAGGCAAAACACGACUCGUGCUCCAAACGGUCGGUACGUUGUGCGGCUUCCAUUCAGGUAAGACUUCCUCGGAAAACUCCCUUUAGGCCACUCCCAGUCUGCAGCGUUUCAAAAAUUUGUCAGUAUGGAGCACACGCUGAAAAAAGAGAUUUUAAUGCAAUGGAGUUUACCCACCCUCGUGAAAUAAUCUCCAGUUCCAACUAACAGUAUUACUUCUUGCCACAUCAUACGAUUGUAAGACCAGAUAAAAUGAUCACCAAAGGUCGAGUGGUGUUUAACGACUCAAGAAAAUUGAGGUCAGACAACUCGUUUAAUGAUGUUUUGCAUACUGGUACUACCCUCCAACUAGCCUUCUUCCCGCUGGUUGCGGCUGUAACUUUGCCGUAUAUUAUUAACAAAUUUUUUUUAUAGGACUUUUAAUAUAUAAAUAUAGUUACAUGUGAUAUUAAUGAAAUUGAAUUGAAUCUAAUUUGGGUAAUGAUAUUACUUGUUCAUAUGAUUCUUUCAAACGCUUGCUUCAAAAUGAAAUUGGAGGCAAUUGGAUACAGUUUUCAAAGAAAUUAACGCUCCUCUAAAAUAAGUAUCCAAGUUUCCGUAUUACUCAGCUUAUAUAAUGUUUAUAUACGUAGUUAUAGAAAAAUAAAUAUAUUGCAUUUUCGUCGCAUAUUAGGACAAAAACACUAACCUUCACCGGCUAUUCUCUUUAACACCACUUGCAUCGUAUGUAAGAUAUUCCAACACCCAUAUCUUCCGAAAGGUUUCCUUCAUUUGUUGAAGAAUCUGUCAUUGCUUACGUAAGCAAACGCCUUUAUUUACAUUUGGUGUUUGAACAUCAUUUGGGCCCUCCCCCCAUGGAAUGAUUAAGUUCGUUGUCUAACGGCAAAUAAGUUGAUGGCUGAUAAUUUACCAGCUUUUCAGCUCCCAUCAAAAGAGUUUAUAACGUUUUCACCUGUGGAACCUUCGCCUUUAGAGUGAAUGAAAGUACUCUAUUGACGCAACCUACCAUACGCUACCAUGCACCUCCAGCUAAAAGAUUACCAGGUGAAUUAAACAACCAUUCUACCCCAUGUCUGGCACCUUCAUCGAUAACUUUCCCUCUAAUAAUAUCCAAUCUUCUGUACUGCCUGUUAAUAAAAUUCCAAAUGAACCGUUCGUAUGGUUCAAUAUGCAAAUAAACAUCCUCAUCUUUUCUCUUGUCGGCGGCCAGCUGCUACAAUACACUGUCCGAAGAAUUACCAGUAUAACUGAAUACUCUAACAAAUGGAGUGCGUCGAUAUUUUGGAACCUGCCCCAUAUGUGGAGUGUUAGGUUUUGCAUUUUGGUUUUUACAUGUUCGACAAUUUAUUUCAGCUGAACGGCCAAGUUACGUACGUUAGUUAUCCAAAAUUUUCUUCUGAUAGCGCAAACGGUUUUGAUGCUUAUCAAUUUCAGGAUAAUGCCUUGCAAUAAGUUUGGAUAAUAAUUGUUUAUAUGACAGACCUUUUUUUUUUCUUGUCUAAAGGUACACAAUCAGAAUUUUCAAUACGUCCUGAGCAUCUCGAAGUACCAUAUUCAUCAAAUAUAGGCGACACACUAUUUCCCGGUAACUUUUCUUUGCCUGCUAACAUACUCAUAUUAUUUGCCUAAGUAUUCUCUUGAACAUAGCGACUGAGUAUUUUUUUUCAGCUUAAGCAAUGUCUUUUGCAGUCAAUUGCGACAAAGAAGUACCUUUAGUUCGUUGUUUUUGAACAGAUCUAAAUUUCAUUACCCAACAAAUAACUGUGAACAGCUUAAAAUAUUUCUAAAAUCUUUCAAAAUCUAUCAAAUUUCAUUGCGAAGACACACUUUGAGCGUCUUUCUAUAUCUACACUCUUUUCCGGAAUACCUUCAGAGGAGAAGGCCUGGCCAAAACAUCUCAGGUUCCUUCAAAAAAUCUGAAUCACGUAUCCAUCGUGACCUUAAAUCAAUGUGUGCAUUCAAUCGUGUCGAAUCAUCUGAUAGAUUUUGCUCACCAGAAAUCCAUCGCCACCGGUUGACAUUAGAAGAAUAUAAAAUUUCUGCGAUUCUGUGUGUGAUUCAAAUAUUUCGUAUUUGAGUUGAUUCAACUGAGAAAAGUUUUCGAGCCAGACCAAAACGUUAUCAGUUGGGGCUGUACAUCAUGACUUUUUAAAAUAAAUUUACAAUAUGGUAGCAAACAAUUCUGGACGUGGCACCGAAAGUACCUUAAUAGGAGUAAGCGACUGCAAAAUUUGAAAGUUCGGUAGCAUUCACAAAAAUAUGAAAGUCAAUCUUUGAGUCUGGGUUAUUAAAAUUAAACUUAUAGGAACGGGGGAUAAUGAGUAAGCUAGAAAGCCUUAUCAAGCUCGGCAUAGCAGUCGAAACCUUUGUGGCAAGUCUGCUUUGGAAUAGCACCACCAAUCUACGUUCAAAUGCCAUAGCUCUGUAAAAUAGUUUUUGAUUUUACUGUAACAUUUGACAAAUAAUCCAAGGGAUCAAAUCGUUAGACUUUGCACACCAGCUUUCGUCGGUAUUCGUUCUCCAGUCAAUACAUCAUUUUCUACUCUCUAAAAUUUAAUUAAAAACAAAAUGAGUCAUCUAAUGUUCGUCAGUAUAUUCCCAGUACCUUUUCUGUUAAAAAAUCUUUAGAGCAAAGGCUCUCGGUGUCAUUAGUGAGGGGCGCUGAUCCAUCUCCAAGCGCCUUACAAAGCUUCUUCGAGUUAAACUGACCCUCGCAACUUAAAGCCGGUAUAAUUAUUAUAUUUUUUAACCGUAUUCGAAAUAUUUAUAGCAUGUUUCACUGCAUUGAAGGUAUCAGCAUAAUCGUCCACCUAGUGGUAGUCCAUUAUACAUAGCUCUAGUGGCUUUAACCGCAUUCGAAAUAUUGAUAGCAUCUUUCACUGCAUUAAAGGUGUCAACAUAAUCGUUCACGUAGUGGUAGUCAAUUAUAUAUAGCUGUAGUGGCUCUGGAAUGAAUUUCGUAAAAGCUUAUGGUAUUUAUAUUUUUUACAAAUUACGCGGAACAUGGUGUGCAGGCUGGACCAAAUAUCAUUGCUUUCAUGUUAUACACGUCUGGCUCCUUUGUCGUAUAUCCAUCACGCCAGACAAAUCGUUGUGCAUCCUGACCUUCUUCGCGUAUCUCAAAUUGUGUAAACAUUUCGCGUAUAUCUGCAGAUACGCCAAUGAUACUCUAUCUAAUUUUAAAUAAUAUACUUAGUAACAAGUAUCUUCGGUAAGCACUGGGCCUUUCAUUAAACAUGAUCUGAAAGAUCCACUGUUUAUGGAUGCAGCAGCAUCAAAAACUAACGUAAUUUAUUUUCUUUAUAUGGAUUGCAAACGGCAAAGUGAGGUAUUUACUAUUAAUAAGGUUUUAACGACAAUGAUUCUGCCAUCAAAAACUUCUUGGCAUAUGACUUGUGUACUAUUAUACUCAUUAAUUUUGUCUUUAUACCACUUUUUAAAAUUAUUAUCUUUGGCAAUUUUAGCUUCACAGAAAUGAAUUUCAUCAGUUCGCGAUAACGAACCCGUUUCAUAGUGACAACCAAUAAGCUUAGUGGUCUCUGAUAAAACGGUUUCGGAUCUUUUGUCUACUUCAGAUACGACCGGCUCCAAAGGUUUCAUUCCAAAACUUUCUAAAGAAUAAUACUUGCCUCUGAAUGUCAUGAACUACAUCUUCUUCACAGCCUGUACGGCAAACAACUCCUUCGGGAGUGUCUUCAUUUGAUCCAAGCAACAAACAAUCGUCGAGAUUUAUAAUAAUAUAUGUACGGCAUACCGAUAAGGUUAGCGAAACAGCAUCAACAUAUUCGUCGAUUGGCAAGUUUUGUAACCUAACAUAUUUCGAUAUAAAAGUUUUGAGAUUCCACUUUUUACAAGUUUCCACAAAGCUCCUUUUACCUGACAUAGGCAUUUCCCUCAUAUUGCACCAACGCAACACCAACAUCAGCAUGUGUUUCUAAUAGCAAAGGUCUGAAAUGAGGAUCACCCAAUAUGAGGUACUAGUACGAUUCAUGUUAUUCUAUUCAUAAUUCAAAAAAUGUUUAUUUUUACAUUAAUAUUAUAAUUUAUUUAAAAUUCCUAUUUAAUUAUAUAUUUAGCUGUAGUGGCUGUAUAUCUGUGUAUGUAUAUGGAUGUAUAUACUAGCAGAACCAGCGAACUUCGCCUCAUCUUAAUAACAUGCCUUUAUAUUACAUGUAGAUGGCUCAAAUCUGAUUGCAAAUUAUUUGAAUGAAUUCGAAAAGCAGAAAGCAAUAUGGCAAGCAAACACGCGAACAUGCGCAGUUCACAUAAAAUUACUUGGAUUAAACUCAGCGGUUUCCGAUAAGAAGCAGUCCAUACGAAAAUAUGAAAAUUCAAGCAAAUAGAAAUACUUAUUUGUACAUACAUACACGCUUAGGCAAAUAAAUUCAUACUGACUAUUUUUAUGUAAAAUACAAGAAUAUAAUUUUCAUUCAUAAAUUUAUCGCACACUGCAUAAUGGUGCCUACAAAUCUCUUGACAAAAUUCAAAAAUACAAAAAUAUUACAUUCCCCUCUUCCUUCAAACCGUAAAUCUGCAGUAAAAUUCAUACGACUUCUACACACUAUUUAAAUUCUAGUAAAAUACAACAAUAACCUUUUCAUUCAUAAAUUUACCGCACACAUGCCCCUUCAUAACCGUGCCUAAAAGCUCUUGACAAAAUUCAAAAAAUCAAAAAACAAAAAUGGUCGCAAUACUUGAAGCAACAACAAAAUACAUUUGGCUGCCUCUUUCCUUUCAACCUGCAAAAAUCUCAUGGCAUCUACAAGCAUUGAUUCAAAUUCUAACUGACAAAAAUUCAAAUAUUCGAAUUUGUCUACUAAAAUGAAAAAAUCGGCAUUAUGUUGCUAAAUCUGACGUUCGCCUAUUACCUUAUAUUGGCCAGUAAGAAUUGCCUUACCUGCCCGCCAGCGCUUUGUCCUCAAGC